RNAcentral lists this ribosomal RNA (253 nucleotides) under uncultured bacterium. RNAcentral's name for it is "partial 16S ribosomal RNA". It matches the Rfam family "Bacterial small subunit ribosomal RNA", at positions 524 to 776 of the family's 1533-position model. The record is from RNAcentral.
UACGUAGGGUGCAAGCGUUGUCCGGAAUUAUUGGGCGUAAAGAGCUCGUAGGCGGUCUGUCGCGUCUGCUGUGAAAACUCAGGGCUUAACCCUAAGCUUGCAGUGGGUACGGGCAGACUAGAGUGCGGUAGGGGAGACUGGAAUUCCUGGUGUAGCGGUGAAAUGCGCAGAUAUCAGGAGGAACACCGGUGGCGAAGGCGGGUCUCUGGGCCGUAACUGACGCUGAGGAGCGAAAGCAUGGGGAGCGAACAGG